AUUUAAAAUUUUUUAAGUAGUCAAAAUUUCUAUUAAAACUUUAAUAAAAUGGCGGCAUUUUAUCUUAUUAGAGGAACUUGUUUUUUAAUCGAUAACCCUCGUUAAAUUUCACUUAAAUUUAAAUUUUAUAUACCUCCAUCUUAAAAAUUAAUUUAAAAAUUUUUUUUAUAAAAAAUAUUAUAAAAAGUUAGGUCAUGGUGUAGAUUAUAUUUAUGAUAAAAUUAGUUACAUUAAAUAAAAUUUAAAGAAAAAAAAUAAAAUUUUUUUUAUAAAAAGAAUUUAAUAGUAACUAAUAAAAUAUUAUUUAUUAUUGAAUUAGCAAAUAUAUGUGC
Molecule: ribosomal RNA, 332 nt
Filed under: Malkaridae sp. LB-2014m
Lineage: Eukaryota; Metazoa; Arthropoda; Arachnida; Araneae; Malkaridae
Description: partial 12S ribosomal RNA
Source: RNAcentral